RNAcentral lists this ribosomal RNA (492 nucleotides) under uncultured bacterium. Its description in RNAcentral is "partial 16S ribosomal RNA". It matches the Rfam family "Bacterial small subunit ribosomal RNA", at positions 29 to 507 of the family's 1533-position model. The record is from RNAcentral.
AGUGAACGCUGGCGGUAGGCCUAACACAUGCAAGUCGAACGGCAGCACAGUAAGAGCUUGCUCUUACGGGUGGCGAGUGGCGGACGGGUGAGGAAUACAUCGGAAUCUACUUUUUCGUGGGGGAUAACGUAGGGAAACUUACGCUAAUACCGCAUACGACCUACGGGUGAAAGCAGGGGAUCUUCGGACCUUGCGCGAUUGAAUGAGCCGAUGUCGGAUUAGCUAGUUGGCGGGGUAAAGGCCCACCAAGGCGACGAUCCGUAGCUGGUCUGAGAGGAUGAUCAGCCACACUGGAACUGAGACACGGUCCAGACCCCCACGGGGGGGAAGAGUGGGGAAAAUUGGGAAAAGGGGCGGAACCCGGACCCAGCCAUACCGGGGGGGUAAAGAAGCCCUUGGGUUUGUAAAGCCCUUUUUUUGGGAAAAAAAAGCAGCAGGUUAAAACCCCGCUGUUUGAAGGGAACCAAAAAAAAAACCACCGCCAAAUUUGGG